This 689-nucleotide long non-coding RNA is filed under the name Phascolarctos cinereus (koala). Its description in RNAcentral is "lncRNA (ENSPCIG00000003616.2)". Lineage: Eukaryota; Metazoa; Chordata; Mammalia; Diprotodontia; Phascolarctidae. The record is from RNAcentral.
UUCUCAGCUGGACUCUGCUCUGUCCUCAGGUAGUCACAGCUGUAAAAUGGGCACAGCACCAGGCCUGCCUUCUUCACGGAGAUGUCGAGGGUUCCAAGGAGCCAGCUUAAGACUGUGAUCAGCAUGGGUGCCGGCGGAGACACCUCAGCUACCAGUCCCUAGAUGAAAAGAAAAUAAUCAUUGCCCUCAAGAAGCUUACACUCCACCAGGAGGACCCUACACGCAUAGGUUAACAAAUACACCCUAUGUCAAGUGGAGUAAAUAAAAGUAGAGAUGCCAGCCUUGGAGUUCGGGUCCUGCCUCUGACCAUCCGAGCUGUGUGACUUUGGAAGUCAUGGAAACUCUCGGGGUCCCAGGCAACUCUCUAAUACUUCAAGUUAGAAUGGAGUUAGGAGUCUCUCACACCAGUGAAAUCACUGACCCCAAAUGGCUCCACCCCUGCCCAGCAAAGUGUCAAGAGUCCAGACAACUGCAGUAAUCAGAGGAGGCUUCCUAGAGGAGGUUGUCUUGGAUUGGGCUCGAUUGAAUGGAAUUGCAUUGGCUAAGCUGAGCACUUCCCCAUGCAUCUCUGCAGAUCCAGCCUCAGAAGGAGCUCAAAACGGUGGCCAUGGAUGAAGUGUGAUUCCAGGUAGCAUCUGAAAAGCUCAAUGACCAAUAAAAUCCAUGUCUACCUGGGUGAAUAAAGACCC